RNAcentral lists this ribosomal RNA (1266 nucleotides) under Lactiplantibacillus plantarum. Its description in RNAcentral is "bacterial SSU rRNA". It matches the Rfam family "Bacterial small subunit ribosomal RNA", at positions 65 to 1319 of the family's 1533-position model. The record is from RNAcentral. Lineage: Bacteria; Bacillati; Bacillota; Bacilli; Lactobacillales; Lactobacillaceae.
UGCUUGCAUCAUGAUUUACAUUUGAGUGAGUGGCGAACUGGUGAGUAACACGUGGGAAACCUGCCCAGAAGCGGGGGAUAACACCUGGAAACAGAUGCUAAUACCGCAUAACAACUUGGACCGCAUGGUCCGAGCUUGAAAGAUGGCUUCGGCUAUCACUUUUGGAUGGUCCCGCGGCGUAUUAGCUAGAUGGUGGGGUAACGGCUCACCAUGGCAAUGAUACGUAGCCGACCUGAGAGGGUAAUCGGCCACAUUGGGACUGAGACACGGCCCAAACUCCUACGGGAGGCAGCAGUAGGGAAUCUUCCACAAUGGACGAAAGUCUGAUGGAGCAACGCCGCGUGAGUGAAGAAGGGUUUCGGCUCGUAAAACUCUGUUGUUAAAGAAGAACAUAUCUGAGAGUAACUGUUCAGGUAUUGACGGUAUUUAACCAGAAAGCCACGGCUAACUACGUGCCAGCAGCCGCGGUAAUACGUAGGUGGCAAGCGUUGUCCGGAUUUAUUGGGCGUAAAGCGAGCGCAGGCGGUUUUUUAAGUCUGAUGUGAAAGCCUUCGGCUCAACCGAAGAAGUGCAUCGGAAACUGGGAAACUUGAGUGCAGAAGAGGACAGUGGAACUCCAUGUGUAGCGGUGAAAUGCGUAGAUAUAUGGAAGAACACCAGUGGCGAAGGCGGCUGUCUGGUCUGUAACUGACGCUGAGGCUCGAAAGUAUGGGUAGCAAACAGGAUUAGAUACCCUGGUAGUCCAUACCGUAAACGAUGAAUGCUAAGUGUUGGAGGGUUUCCGCCCUUCAGUGCUGCAGCUAACGCAUUAAGCAUUCCGCCUGGGGAGUACGGCCGCAAGGCUGAAACUCAAAGGAAUUGACGGGGGCCCGCACAAGCGGUGGAGCAUGUGGUUUAAUUCGAAGCUACGCGAAGAACCUUACCAGGUCUUGACAUACUAUGCAAAUCUAAGAGAUUAGACGUUCCCUUCGGGGACAUGGAUACAGGUGGUGCAUGGUUGUCGUCAGCUCGUGUCGUGAGAUGUUGGGUUAAGUCCCGCAACGAGCGCAACCCUUAUUAUCAGUUGCCAGCAUUAAGUUGGGCACUCUGGUGAGACUGCCGGUGACAAACCGGAGGAAGGUGGGGAUGACGUCAAAUCAUCAUGCCCCUUAUGACCUGGGCUACACACGUGCUACAAUGGAUGGUACAACGAGUUGCGAACUCGCGAGAGUAAGCUAAUCUCUUAAAGCCAUUCUCAGUUCGGAUUGUAGGCUGCAACUCGCCUAC